RNAcentral lists this ribosomal RNA (253 nucleotides) under uncultured bacterium. Its description in RNAcentral is "partial 16S ribosomal RNA". It matches the Rfam family "Bacterial small subunit ribosomal RNA", at positions 524 to 776 of the family's 1533-position model. The record is from RNAcentral.
UACGUAGGGGGCAAGCGUUGUCCGGAAUCAUUGGGCGUAAAGAGCGUGUAGGCGGCCAGAAAAGUCCGCUGUGAAAACCCGCGGCUUAACUGCGGGCUUGCGGUUGAUACGGGCGGGCUAGAGUUCGGUAGGGGAGACUGGAAUUCCUGGUGUAGCGGUGAAAUGCGCAGAUAUCAGGAGGAACACCGGUGGCGAAGGCGGGUCUCUGGGCCUUACCUGACGCUGAGGAGCGAAAGCGUGGGGAGCGAACAGG